GAUGAACGCUGGCGGCGUGCCUAAUACAUGCAAGUCGAGCGAACAGACGAGGAGCUUGCUCCUCUGACGUUAGCGGCGGACGGGUGAGUAACACGUGGAUAACCUACCUAUAAGACUGGGAUAACUUCGGGAAACCGGAGCUAAUACCGGAUAAUAUAUUGAACCGCAUGGUUCAAUAGUGAAAGACGGUUUUGCUGUCACUUAUAGAUGGAUCCGCGCCGCAUUAGCUAGUUGGUAAGGUAACGGCUUACCAAGGCGACGAUGCGUAGCCGACCUGAGAGGGUGAUCGGCCACACUGGAACUGAGACACGGUCCAGACUCCUACGGGAGGCAGCAGUAGGGAAUCUUCCGCAAUGGGCGAAAGCUUGACGGAGCAACGCCGCGUGAGUGAUGAAGGUCUUCUGAUCGUAAAACUCUGUUAUUAGGGAAGAACAAAUGUGUAAGUAACUAUGCACGUCUUGACGGUACCUAAUCAGAAAGCCACGGCUAACUACGUG
RNAcentral lists this ribosomal RNA (497 nucleotides) under uncultured bacterium. RNAcentral describes it as "partial 16S ribosomal RNA". It matches the Rfam family "Bacterial small subunit ribosomal RNA", at positions 28 to 507 of the family's 1533-position model. The record is from RNAcentral.